UAGGGAAUCUUCCACAAUGGACGCAAGUCUGAUGGAGCAACGCCGCGUGAGUGAAGAAGGUUUUCGGAUCGUAAAGCUCUGUUGUUGGUGAAGAAGGAUAGAGGUAGUAACUGGCCUUUAUUUGACGGUAAUCAACCAGAAAGUCACGGCUAACUACGUGCCAGCAGCCGCGGUAAUACGUAGGUGGCAAGCGUUGUCCGGAUUUAUUGGGCGUAAAGCGAGCGCAGGCGGAAGAAUAAGUCUGAUGUGAAAGCCCUCGGCUUAACCGAGGAACUGCAUCGGAAACUGUUUUUCUUGAGUGCAGAAGAGGAGAGUGGGAUUCCAUGUGUAGCGGUGGAAUGCGUAGAUAUAUGAAGAACACCAGUGGCGAAGGCGACUCUCUGGUCUGCAACUGACGCUGAGGCUCGAAAGCAUGGGUAGCGAACAGG
RNAcentral lists this ribosomal RNA (428 nucleotides) under bacterium. RNAcentral's name for it is "partial 16S ribosomal RNA". It matches the Rfam family "Bacterial small subunit ribosomal RNA", at positions 355 to 776 of the family's 1533-position model. The record is from RNAcentral.